Molecule: ribosomal RNA, 2365 nt
Filed under: Escherichia coli
Lineage: Bacteria; Pseudomonadati; Pseudomonadota; Gammaproteobacteria; Enterobacterales; Enterobacteriaceae
Description: bacterial LSU rRNA
Rfam family: Bacterial large subunit ribosomal RNA
Source: RNAcentral
GUGACUGCGUACCUUUUGUAUAAUGGGUCAGCGACUUAUAUUCUGUAGCAAGGUUAACCGAAUAGGGGAGCCGAAGGGAAACCGAGUCUUAACUGGGCGUUAAGUUGCAGGGUAUAGACCCGAAACCCGGUGAUCUAGCCAUGGGCAGGUUGAAGGUUGGGUAACACUAACUGGAGGACCGAACCGACUAAUGUUGAAAAAUUAGCGGAUGACUUGUGGCUGGGGGUGAAAGGCCAAUCAAACCGGGAGAUAGCUGGUUCUCCCCGAAAGCUAUUUAGGUAGCGCCUCGUGAAUUCAUCUCCGGGGGUAGAGCACUGUUUCGGCAAGGGGGUCAUCCCGACUUACCAACCCGAUGCAAACUGCGAAUACCGGAGAAUGUUAUUACGGGAGACACACGGCGGGUGCUAACGUCCGUCGUGAAGAGGGAAACAACCCAGACCGCCAGCUAAGGUCCCAAAGUCAUGGUUAAGUGGGAAACGAUGUGGGAAGGCCCAGACAGCCAGGAUGUUGGCUUAGAAGCAGCCAUCAUUUAAAGAAAGCGUAAUAGCUCACUGGUCGAGUCGGCCUGCGCGGAAGAUGUAACGGGGCUAAACCAUGCACCGAAGCUGCGGCAGCGACACUAUGUGUUGUUGGGUAGGGGAGCGUUCUGUAAGCCUGUGAAGGUGUGCUGUGAGGCAUGCUGGAGGUAUCAGAAGUGCGAAUGCUGACAUAAGUAACGAUAAAGCGGGUGAAAAGCCCGCUCGCCGGAAGACCAAGGGUUCCUGUCCAACGUUAAUCGGGGCAGGGUGAGUCGACCCCUAAGGCGAGGCCGAAAGGCGUAGUCGAUGGGAAACAGGUUAAUAUUCCUGUACUUGGUGUUACUGCGAAGGGGGGACGGAGAAGGCUAUGUUGGCCGGGCGACGGUUGUCCCGGUUUAAGCGUGUAGGCUGAUUUUCCAGGCAAAUCCGGAAAAUCAAGGCUGAGGCGUGAUGACGAGGCACUACGGUGCUGAAGCAACAAAUGCCCUGCUUCCAGGAAAAGCCUCUAAGCAUCAGGUAACAUCAAAUCGUACCCCAAACCGACACAGGUGGUCAGGUAGAGAAUACCAAGGCGCUUGAGAGAACUCGGGUGAAGGAACUAGGCAAAAUGGUGCCGUAACUUCGGGAGAAGGCACGCUGAUAUGUAGGUGAAGCGACUUGCUCGUGGAGCUGAAAUCAGUCGAAGAUACCAGCUGGCUGCAACUGUUUAUUAAAAACACAGCACUGUGCAAACACGAAAGUGGACGUAUACGGUGUGACGCCUGCCCGGUGCCGGAAGGUUAAUUGAUGGGGUUAGCGGUAACGCGAAGCUCUUGAUCGAAGCCCCGGUAAACGGCGGCCGUAACUAUAACGGUCCUAAGGUAGCGAAAUUCCUUGUCGGGUAAGUUCCGACCUGCACGAAUGGCGUAAUGAUGGCCAGGCUGUCUCCACCCGAGACUCAGUGAAAUUGAACUCGCUGUGAAGAUGCAGUGUACCCGCGGCAAGACGGAAAGACCCCGUGAACCUUUACUAUAGCUUGACACUGAACAUUGAGCCUUGAUGUGUAGGAUAGGUGGGAGGCUUUGAAGUGUGGACGCCAGUCUGCAUGGAGCCGACCUUGAAAUACCACCCUUUAAUGUUUGAUGUUCUAACGUUGGCCCGUUAUCCGGGUUGCGGACAGUGUCUGGUGGGUAGUUUGACUGGGGCGGUCUCCUCCUAAAGAGUAACGGAGGAGCACGAAGGUUGGCUAAUCCUGGUCGGACAUCAGGAGGUUAGUGCAAUGGCAUAAGCCAGCUUGACUGCGAGCGUGACGGCGCGAGCAGGUGCGAAAGCAGGUCAUAGUGAUCCGGUGGUUCUGAAUGGAAGGGCCAUCGCUCAACGGAUAAAAGGUACUCCGGGGAUAACAGGCUGAUACCGCCCAAGAGUUCAUAUCGACGGCGGUGUUUGGCACCUCGAUGUCGGCUCAUCACAUCCUGGGGCUGAAGUAGGUCCCAAGGGUAUGGCUGUUCGCCAUUUAAAGUGGUACGCGAGCUGGGUUUAGAACGUCGUGAGACAGUUCGGUCCCUAUCUGCCGUGGGCGCUGGAGAACUGAGGGGGGCUGCUCCUAGUACGAGUGGACCGGAGUGGACGCAUCACUGGUGUUCGGGUUGUCAUGCCAAUGGCACUGCCCGGUAGCUAAAUGCGGAAGAGAUAAGUGCUGAAAGCAUCUAAGCACGAAACUUGCCCCGAGAUGAGUUCUCCCUGACUCCUUGAGAGUCCUGAAGGAACGUUGAAGACGACGACGUUGAUAGGCCGGGUGUGUAAGCGCAGCGAUGCGUUGAGCUAACCGGUACUAAUGAACCGUGAGGCUUAACCUUACAACGCCGAAG